This 374-nucleotide ribosomal RNA is filed under the name Dolichopus sp. NCSU-97010378. RNAcentral's name for it is "eukaryotic LSU rRNA". It matches the Rfam family "Eukaryotic large subunit ribosomal RNA", at positions 1000 to 1371 of the family's 3401-position model. Lineage: Eukaryota; Metazoa; Arthropoda; Insecta; Diptera; Dolichopodidae. The record is from RNAcentral.
CUAACCGGGUAAAGCAAAUGAUUAGAGGCCUUAGGGCCGAAACAACCUUAACCUAUUCUCAAACUUUAAAUGGGUAAGAACCUAAAAUUUCUUGAAUGAAUUUUUAGGUUAUGAUAUAUUGUGCCCAGUGGGCCACUUUUGGUAAGCAGAACUGGCGCUGUGGGAUGAACCAAACGUGACGUUACGGUGCCUAAAUUAACAACUCAUGCAGAUACCAUGAAAGGCGUUGCUUGCUUAAAACACCAGGACGGUGGACAUGGAAGUCGUAAUCCGCUAAGGAGUGUGUAACAACUCACCUGCCGAAGCAACUAGCCCUUAAAAUGGAUGGCCCUUAAGUUGUAUACCUAUACGCCACUGUUAAUGUAUAUGAUUUA